GGCGGCGUGCCUAACACAUGCAAGUCGAACGAGAAAGUUGGCUUCGGCCGAUGAGUAAAGUGGCGCACGGGUGAGUAACGCGUGGAUAAUCUGCCCUUUAGUUUGGAAUAACGUACCGAAAGGUGCGCUAAUACCGGAUAAUACUGAAUGACUACUGUUGUUUAGUCAAAGAAGGCUUCUGUUUACAUGCUUUUGCUGAAGGAUGAGUCCGCGUACCAUUAGCUAGUUGGUAGGGUAAUGGCCUACCAAGGCGACGAUGGUUAGCUGGUCUGAGAGGAUGAUCAGCCACACUGGAACUGAGACACGGUCCAGACUCCUACGGGAGGCAGCAGUGAGGAAUAUUGCGCAAUGGGGGCAACCCUGACGCAGCAACGCCGCGUGAGCGAGGAAGGUUUUCGGACCGUAAAGCUCUGUCGAGCGGGAAGAAAUGCAUGGUGGCUAAUAUCCAUCAUGCUUGACGGUACCGCUAAAGGAAGCACCGGCUAACUCCGUG
RNAcentral lists this ribosomal RNA (493 nucleotides) under uncultured bacterium. Its description in RNAcentral is "bacterial SSU rRNA". It matches the Rfam family "Bacterial small subunit ribosomal RNA", at positions 38 to 507 of the family's 1533-position model. The record is from RNAcentral.